GACAGAGGUGCCAAGCGUUAGGCGGAAUCACUGGGCUUAAAGCGUGUGUAGGCGGACUUCUAAGUACCUUGUGAAAUCCCCCGGCUCAACCGGGGAACGGCUGGGUAUACUGGGAGUCUUGAGCCAGCUAGGGGUCGCCGGAACAAGUGGUGGAGCGGUGAAAUGCGUAGAUAUCACUUGGAACGCCAAUGGUGAAAACAGGCGACUGGGGCUGUGCUGACGCUGAGACACGAAAGCCAGGGGAGCAAACGGG
RNAcentral lists this ribosomal RNA (253 nucleotides) under uncultured bacterium. RNAcentral's name for it is "partial 16S ribosomal RNA". It matches the Rfam family "Bacterial small subunit ribosomal RNA", at positions 524 to 776 of the family's 1533-position model. The record is from RNAcentral.